UACGUGUCAAACUUUCCAGACGUUCGAGCACGAAAACUCACUGAUCUUCAGAACCGUCUUCGAGCACGAAAACUCACUGAUCAUCACAUCAAUGUUCGAGCACGAAAAUUUGAUCAUCAGAACCGUCUUCAACCAUGAAAACUCAUUGAUCAUCACAACCGUAAGUGAGGUUUGGUUUUUUUUUUUUAAAUA
Non-coding RNA from Plectropomus leopardus (leopard coralgrouper), 192 nucleotides. The record is from RefSeq and is a predicted model, not a curated record. NCBI's taxonomy places the organism in Eukaryota, Metazoa, Chordata, Actinopteri, Perciformes, Serranidae.